AUUAGUGUUGUUUAUUUUUUUAGUGAUUUUUAAGCUAAUGAUCUCUGUUUAAGUUUUAUUUAGGAUUUGCUGCUUAUUCGGAUAAAACAACAAUCUCCCAAUCAGGAGCUGCAUCGCAAUCGAAGAAGGCAUCUUCAGCAUCUGUUGACAAACCAAGCUAUAGGUUCCGAUCAGAUCAUGUCCCGCCUGCAUGGUUCAAUACCGUCGCAGGCGGAUCGAAAGGCCUCCCUCUUACCAAAGCGCACACCGCUCACUGAGGAAGAGAUUGAGGCUAUUUUGGUUUGUGAGUUUCUUUUUGUUUUUCAAUACCUGUUUUCUUAUUAAGGUCUAAGCUAUCACGAUUUGAAAGUUUAACCAUUGGUUAUUAGCGUUUUCUUGCUGCUUCUUUGCCUGGGAUAAUUAAAGGCGGGUUUUUUUUUUUUAUUUUUGUAAGAUCACUUGAUGCUCUCGAUCCGAUCCGGCCUUAUGAUGUGGUUGUGGUUGGCUCAUGACGAACACUUCGUUAUCAAUAAACCACAUACACUGUUGUUCCUCUUGAUUUGCCUACUCACAGUGACUCAGUUGCGCCUUUCUGAUGCUAGAUCACCUUGAUGUCUCUCAUUUAUAACUGUUGAGAAUUAAUGUGGAUUUUUUUCUUCUUCUUUGUCUUUAAGUUGUCUUUAUACUUCACUUGUUUUUUUGUUUGUUCAUUUCUGAUGAUUGGUGACGAUGGUUCUGCUGUGUGCUAUCGAAAAAUUAAUAAAAGAACUAAGCUGGUUUUAAUA
This is a long non-coding RNA of Ananas comosus (pineapple), 764 nucleotides long. RefSeq lists it as uncharacterized. The transcript has 2 exons. Lineage: Eukaryota; Viridiplantae; Streptophyta; Magnoliopsida; Poales; Bromeliaceae. The record is from RefSeq and is a predicted model, not a curated record.